This is a long non-coding RNA of Pogoniulus pusillus (Red-fronted tinkerbird), 1288 nucleotides long. RefSeq lists it as uncharacterized. The record is from RefSeq and is a predicted model, not a curated record. Lineage: Eukaryota; Metazoa; Chordata; Aves; Piciformes; Lybiidae. The transcript has 2 exons.
CUGUAGAUCCCCAGAGAUCCCUGUAGAUCCCUGUGGAUCUAGUCUGAGGCCUAGAGAUCCUGCACUGAUGCCUGUUGAUCCCUUUAGAUCCCCAUGGGCUCAGUCUGGGGCCUUUAGAUGCCUGUGGAUCCCCAUAGAUCCCUGUAGAUCCCCCUGGAUCAUGUCUGAGGCCUAAGGAUCCUUCACUGAUCCCCACUGAUCCCUUUAGAUCCCCCUGGACCCAGCUUGGGGCCCCAUAGAUCCCUACAGAUCUCUACAGAUAGAUCCUGGUAGGUCCAGUCUGGGCUCUAGAGAUCCCCACAGGUCCCCCUAGAUCCCUGUGCCACCAACCUGGGGGCCAGUAGAUCCCCCACAGAUCCACUCUCGACCCCUGGAGGUCCCCAGAGAUCUCCAUUGGUGCCUGGAAAUGCCUGCAGAUCCCCAGGGAUCCACUCUGGGGGCCUCUAGAUCCCUUUUUGUCCCUAUAGGUACCCAGGGAUCCAGUCUGGCUCCUCUAGCUCCUUACUGGUCCCUCUAGAUCACCUCAGGGAUCCACUCUGGGGCUCUGUAGCUCUCCACUGCUCCCUAUUGGUCCUUAUAGAUCCCUUCAGGGAUCCACUCUGGGGCUCUGUAGCUCUCCACUGCUCCCUAUUGGUCCUUAUAGAUCCCUUCAGGGAUCCACUCUGGGGCUCUGUAGCUCUCCACUGCUCCCUAUUGGUCCUUAUAGAUCCCUUCAGGGAUCCACUCUGGGGCCCUGUAGCUCUCCACUGCUCCCUAUUGGUCCUUAGAGAUCCCUUCAGGGAUCCACUCUGGGGUCCUGUAGCUCUCCACUGCUCCCUAUUGGUCCUUAUAGAUCCCUUCAGGGAUCCACUCUGGGGCCCUGUAGCUCUCCACUGCUCCCUAUUGGUCCUUAUAGAUCCCUUCAGGGAUCCACUCUGGGGCUCUGUAGCUCUCCACUGCUCUUUAUUGGUCCCAGUAGAUCCCCUCAGGGGUGCAGUCUAGGGGCCUGUAGAUCCCCCCUCAGGGAUCCACUCUGGGGCUCUGUAGCUCUCCACUGCUCCCUAUUGGGCCCUGUAGAUCCCCCCCAAGGGAUCCACUGCAGGCCCUAAGGGAUCCACUCUGGGGCCCUGCAGCUCUCCCCUGCUCCCUACUGGUCCCUGUAGAUCCCCCCACAAGGGAUCCACUGCAGGCCCUAAGGGAUCCACUCUGGGGCCCUGCAGCUCUCCCCUGCCCCCUAUUGGUCCCUGUAGGUCCCUCCCAGGCCCCUCCCCUUCCCCUCCUCUCCAGCCAAUAAAAUCUCUUGGUUAGA